Molecule: RNA transcript, 3482 nt
Organism: Phyllopteryx taeniolatus (common seadragon)
Lineage: Eukaryota; Metazoa; Chordata; Actinopteri; Syngnathiformes; Syngnathidae
Gene name: RNA-binding protein Musashi homolog 2-like
Exons: 18
Source: RefSeq, a predicted model, not a curated record
GCCCGCCCCCUUUGCAUCCUCAUGAUUUUCAUUGAGAAUGACUGUUCGUAUCGGUGUGGAAGAAGUGGAGCCAGUGACGGGAGAGGAGGGACCAACCUGAUGUGAUUGUCUACCUCGAGCUAGCCCAUCGAGCAAGUCGUCCUCGUGUGUCUGCCAGUUCGUUUUAAUCGCGAGGUCAGCUAUGGAGGGAGACGGCAACCAAGUCACGUCUGCAAACCCGACCGAGCCACAACACGACCCGGGGAAAAUGUUCAUCGGUGGCCUCAGCUGGCAAACUUCACCAGACAGCCUUAAAGAUUAUUUUAAUACAUUUGGUGAAAUCAGAGAAUCUAUGGUAAUGAGAGACCCAACGACAAAACGCUCCAGGGGCUUUGGCUUCGUCACUUUUGCAGAUUCUGCCAGCGUAGAUAACGUCUUGGCACAGCCGCAUCAUGAGUUAGACUCUAAAAUGAUUGACCCAAAAGUUGCCUUUCCUAGACGUACUCAGCCCAAGGCAGGCGGUUCGACCUUCCGGGGGUUGGCAAGAGCGCUCACGAGGGAUGGAUUAAAGAAAAAGGAAGGAAAGCGAAAAAGACGCACUUCAAGUGCAGGAUGGCCGGAGCGCUGGCAGUGGCAAUGCUUGCCACGCGGUCAGAUGGUAACAAAGAAGAUUUUUGUGGGAGGAUUAUCAGCAAACACAGUAAUUGAAGAUGUGAAGCACUAUUUUGAACAGUUUGGCAAGGUAGAAGAUGCCAUGCUAAUGUUUGACAAAACAACUAACCGACAUAGAGGUUUUGGAUUCGUAUCAUUUGAAAAUGAAGAUCUGGUGGAGAAAGUCUGUGACAUCCAUUUUCACGAAAUCAAUAAUAAAAUGGUAGAAUGCAAAAAAGCGCAACCAAAAGAAGUAAUGUACCCAUCUGGGACACGGGGUCGGGCCAGAUGUCUGCCAUAUACAAUGGAUGCGUUCAUGCUUGGUAUGGGCAUGCUGAGUUAUCCCAACGUUGUAGCCACAUAUGGCAGAGGAUAUGGUAGUUUUGUGCCAAGUUAUGGUUACCAGUUCCCAGCGUUUGCAACAGCAUAUGGACCAGUGACAGCAGCAGUAGCAGCAACACGUGGCUCAGGGAGAGGUGGCAGCUACAUGGCAUACGGGCAGAACACAGGGGCAGGGCUCCCUGAUUAUGGGUUGUGCUCUUUGGCUGGAACCAGCACUGACAUGAGGGGCGGAGCACCCUACUCGGUGACCGACUACGGCUCCCUCAGGCCACAGACGGCAGCUCAGAUGCUACCUAACGAGCAUGCCGGCUCGGGCUGCAAUUCUCCCACCACCCUUCAACACCACCUUCACAGCCCGGACCCUUUUAAGAGCCCAGAUGUAACAAGGCCUGGACUCUUUCCUGGUCCUAGCAGCCCUGGUCAUGGAGCUGACCUCUAUGGUACUGUCACUCAGGACUCCGGUGUCAGCAACUACAUCAGUGCCACAAGCCCUCAGACAGUUCCUGGCUUUAGCCACAGUAUUGCUGGUCCAUUGAUUGCAACAGCUUUUACUAAUGGAUAUCACUGAAAGUCAACAUGUGGCUGGUUGUCGUCUCGUUUCAGGAGCAUAUUUGUCAGGUCACUCACUGAUGUUGGACGAGAAGGCCUGGCUCACUGUCCACUUGAAAUCAACGCAAAGGUAUUCUAUCCGGUUGAGGGCAGGAGUCUCUGCAGGCAAGUCAAGUUCUUCCAUACCAAAUUCUCUCAUCCAUGUCUUUAUGUCCCUUGAUUUGUGCACAGAUGCACAGACAUGUUGGAACAGGUAGCGGUGUUCCCAAACUGUUUGACUGUCCAAACUCUUCUGGUAUGCUGAAGCAUACCUCAACCCUCAACCCUAUAGAACACUUUUGGAUGAAUUAGAGUGGAGACUGAGAGCCAGGCCUUCUCGUUCAACAUCAGUCUGUAACCUCACAAAUGUGUUUCUGGAAGAAUGGUCAAACAUUCCCAUGAACACACUCCUAAACCUUGUGGAAAGCCUUCCUUGAAGUGUUAAAGCUUAUCACUGCAGAGGAUGGACCGAUGUCAUAUCAAACCCUAUGGAUUUGGAAUGGGAUGUCACUCAAGUACAUAUGUGAGUCAAGGCAGAAAUCCAUGUGACUCUGAAACUUGCAGUAUAUCACUAGUUGCAUUGCGGGCCAUGGAAACGGGGGAAGUGUGUUCGGUGAUAUCACCCUGCACUAACCAUUACAGCCUCGGUUUGGCAGCGAACCGGAGCAACGGCGUGGCAAUAUCAUGAAAAUCACCUCAGAAUAAAAGAUGACAUUUUCCUGUACUGUAUAGGCCUUACCUUCAGUUAAGUCUGAUUUCACUCCAAAAUCUUUGUGGGUUGUUUUUUUUUUUUUUUUUAAUCUAAGGUGUGCUUUUUGUAAAAGGUUUUCAAUGUCUAAUACUUAUUGAUUACUUUAAGAAAUACUUUUGGAUUAUGUGGGUUUUUUUAAUAUAAAUGUGUGCUUGUUUUUCUUUUGAUGUGUCACCGAUCUCCAAAGGGGGUAAUGUCAGAACAGGUUUAAAAACCAUUGCAUGAAGAUGAAUCCAUGAAGAGACUGGUGGGCGAAAGGGUCUCUUUGAAAGGUGGUUUGACACUGGAGAUAAUACUGGUUCAACUCAACUUUAUUUAUAGAGCACUUAAAAACAAACACCACAAGACAUACCGUAUACAUACUUCACAGUGUGGUCACCAGACGUCAUGGACUUGAUUUAGGCAAUAAGAGGACAAUAAUAAUUUCACAGUGCUGUUUUUUAAGACAAUUUGCUGCUGUGUGGAAAAGAAGAUAUAUUUUCUUUAUUGAUUUAGAAGGGACCGUGUGAUCUCAGAAUGUAAAUACUCCCUUUUAUUUUAAACUAAGAUCGCUGUUUUCCACCUGAGGCUGUUUACCCACGUUAAUUGACUGCAUGCACAGUUGGAUUUAAUCUGACACAGUCACAGAAUGAUGAGAUUCCUCUCUCAGUUAGCCUGCGACCGUGACACUGGAAAUCGACAACAUGGAAGUCCAAAACAAGCAUUAAGGCAAAAUCUGCUACUGUAUGUAUUCCUAUGAUACUUUGUAACUGUCUCUACACAUUACCAGUAGUUCAUAUCUCAGGCUCAGUCCUGUACGUUGCUACCUGGCUAAUGAAAUGCAUUUGGUAUACAGUGAUUAGAAAGUUUCAGAGCAAUUUGCUGUAAUUUGCACAAUUUAAGAUUCUUUAAUGAGAUUCAAUGAUGUGAAGGCUUGUCAUUAAAUGUUUAACCAAACCUCUAUUUAAAUUGAUAAAGCUAUUCAUUACCAGAUAGAUUAUGGUAAACGUUUUAUUUAUUUUUGUAAAUAUGAAAAUGCAAUGAAAUGAGAAACAUUGUUCAAACCAGCAAGUUUCAAAUGCUUUAUGCAUGGAUGUACAGUAUAUGUACACUAAUUUAUAUGUACACUAGUUAACAAUUUGACCUAAUGAAAAUAUUUACGACUUACUUCAUUAAACCUUGUGAAUUUCAA